GAUGAACGCUAGCUACAGGCUUAACACAUGCAAGUCGAGGGGAAACGACAUCGAAAGCUUGCUUUUGAUGGGCGUCGACCGGCGCACGGGUGAGUAACGCGUAUCCAACCUGCCCACCACUUGGGGAUAACCUUGCGAAAGUAAGACUAAUACCCAAUGAUAUCUCUAGAAGACAUCUGAAAGAGAUUAAAGAUUUAUCGGUGAUGGAUGGGGAUGCGUCUGAUUAGCUUGUUGGAGGGGUAACGGCCCACCAAGGCUACGAUCAGUAGGGGUUCUGAGAGGAAGGUCCCCCACAUUGGAACUGAGACACGGUCCAAACUCCUACGGGAGGCAGCAGUGAGGAAUAUUGGUCAAUGGGCGAGAGCUUGAACCAGCCAAGUAGCGUGCAGGAUGACGGCCCUAUGGGUUGUAAACUGCUUUUAUAAGGGAAUAAAGUGAGCCUCGUGAGGCUUUUUGCAUGUACCUUAUGAAUAAGGACCGGCUAAUUCCGUGCCAGCCGCCGCCGUAA
RNAcentral lists this ribosomal RNA (508 nucleotides) under uncultured bacterium. RNAcentral's name for it is "partial 16S ribosomal RNA". It matches the Rfam family "Bacterial small subunit ribosomal RNA", at positions 28 to 523 of the family's 1533-position model. The record is from RNAcentral.